UCUUAGUUGGUGGAGCGAUUUGUCUGGUUAAUUCCGAUAACGAACGAGACCUCAGCCUGCUAACUAGCUACGCGGAGGUUCCCCUUCGCGGCCAGCUUCUUAGAGGGACUAUGGCCGUUUAGGCCAUGGAAGUUUGAGGCAAUAACAGGUCUGUGAUGCCCUUAGAUGUCCUGGGCCGCACGCGUGCUACACUGAUACGUACAACGAGGUAUAUGCAUUUAUGCAUCUUUGCUGCUCCGAAAUAGACACAGCUAAAUCUUCUAAAAUACGUAUCGUGCUGCGGAUAGAUCGUUGAAAUUAUGGAUCUUGAAGGUGGAAUUCCUAGUAAGCGCAGGUCAUCAACCUGCGUUGAUUACGUCCCUGCCCUUUGUACACACCGCCCGUCGCUCCUACCGAUUGAAUGAUCCGGUGAAGUGUUCGGAUUGCGUCGACGAUGGUGGUUCGCCGCCGUCGACGUCGUGAGAAGUUCAUUGAACCUUAUCAUUUAGAGGAAGGAGAAGUCGUAACAAGGUUUCCGUAGGUGAACCUGCGGAAGGAUCAAU
Molecule: ribosomal RNA, 542 nt
Filed under: Euplotes focardii
Lineage: Eukaryota; Ciliophora; Spirotrichea; Euplotida; Euplotidae
Description: partial Eukaryotic small subunit ribosomal RNA
Rfam family: Eukaryotic small subunit ribosomal RNA
Source: RNAcentral